RNAcentral lists this ribosomal RNA (394 nucleotides) under uncultured bacterium. Its description in RNAcentral is "bacterial SSU rRNA". It matches the Rfam family "Bacterial small subunit ribosomal RNA", at positions 417 to 793 of the family's 1533-position model. The record is from RNAcentral.
UUCGGGUUGUAAAGCACUUUCAGCAGUGAGGAAGGCGGGGUAUGGUUAAUAGCAUAUUCGUUUGACGUUUAGCUGCAGAAGAAGCACCGGCUAACUCCGUGCCAGCAGCCGCGGUAAUACGGAGGGUGCGAGCGUUAAUCGGAAUUACUGGGCGUAAAGCGCAUGCAGGUGGUUUGUUUAAGUUCAGAUGUGAAAGACCCGGGGCGUCAACCUCGGAAUAGCAUUUGAAACUGGCAGACUAGAGUACUGUAGAGGGGGGUAGGAAUUUCAGGUGUAGCGGUGAAAUGCGUAGAGAUCUGAAGGAAUACCGGUGGCGAAGGCGGCCCCCUCGGACAGAUACUGACACUCAGAUGCGAAAGCGUGGGGAGCAAACAGGAUUAGAUACCCCUGGUAG